UUUAUGGAGAGUUUGAUCCUGGCUCAGAGUGAACGCUGGCGGCGUGCCUAAUACAUGCAAGUCGAACGAUGAAGCUUCUAGCUUGCUAGAAGUGGAUUAGUGGCGCACGGGUGAGUAACGCAUAGGUCAUGUGCCUCUUAGUUUGGGAUAGCCAUUGGAAACGAUGAUUAAUACCAGAUACUCCCUACGGGGGAAAGAUUUAUCGCUAAGAGAUCAGCCUAUGUCCUAUCAGCUUGUUGGUAAGGUAAUGGCUUACCAAGGCUAUGACGGGUAUCCGGCCUGAGAGGGUGAACGGACACACUGGAACUGAGACACGGUCCAGACUCCUACGGGAGGCAGCAGUAGGGAAUAUUGCUCAAUGGGGGAAACCCUGAAGCAGCAACGCCGCGUGGAGGAUGAAGGUUUUAGGAUUGUAAACUCCUUUUGUUAGAGAAGAUAAUGACGGUAUCUAACGAAUAAGCACCGGCUAACUCCGUGCCAGCAGCCGCGGUAAUACGGAGGGUGCAAGCGUUACUCGGAAUCACUGGGCGUAAAGAGCGCGUAGGCGGGAUAGUCAGUCAGGUGUGAAAUCCUAUGGCUUAACCAUAGAACUGCAUUUGAAACUACUAUUCUAGAGUGUGGGAGAGGUAGGUGGAAUUCUUGGUGUAGGGGUAAAAUCCGUAGAGAUCAAGAGGAAUACUCAUUGCGAAGGCGACCUGCUGGAACAUUACUGACGCUGAUUGCGCGAAAGCGUGGGGAGCAAACAGGAUUAGAUACCCUGGUAGUCCACGCCCUAAACGAUGGAUGCUAGUUGUUGGAGGGCUUAGUCUCUCCAGUAAUGCAGCUAACGCAUUAAGCAUCCCGCCUGGGGAGUACGGUCGCAAGAUUAAAACUCAAAGGAAUAGACGGGGACCCGCACAAGCGGUGGAGCAUGUGGUUUAAUUCGAAGAUACACGAAGAACCUUACCUAGGCUUGACAUUGAGAGAAUCCGCUAGAAAUAGUGGAGUGUCUGGCUUGCCAGACCUUGAAAACAGGUGCUGCACGGCUGUCGUCAGCUCGUGUCGUGAGAUGUUGGGUUAAGUCCCGCAACGAGCGCAACCCCCUUUCUUAGUUGCUAACAGGUCAUGCUGAGAACUCUAAGGAUACUGCCUCCGUAAGGAGGAGGAAGGUGGGGACGACGUCAAGUCAUCAUGGCCCUUACGCCUAGGGCUACACACGUGCUACAAUGGGGUGCACAAAGAGAAGCAAUACUGCGAAGUGGAGCCAAUCUUCAAAACGCCUCUCAGUUCGGAUUGUAGGCUGCAACUCGCCUGCAUGAAGCUGGAAUCGCUAGUAAUCGCAAAUCAGCCAUGUUGCGGUGAAUACGUUCCCGGGUCUUGUACUCACCGCCCGUCACACCAUGGGAGUUGUGUUUGCCUUAAGUCAGGAUGCUAAACUAGCUACUGCCCACGGCACACACAGCGACUGGGGUGAAGUCGUAACAAGGUAACCGUAGGUGAACCUGCGGUUGGAUCACCUCCUUUCUAGA
This 1508-nucleotide ribosomal RNA is filed under the name Helicobacter pylori. RNAcentral's name for it is "bacterial SSU rRNA". It matches the Rfam family "Bacterial small subunit ribosomal RNA". The record is from RNAcentral. Lineage: Bacteria; Pseudomonadati; Campylobacterota; Epsilonproteobacteria; Campylobacterales; Helicobacteraceae.